UACAGAGGGUGCGAGCGUUAAUCGAAGUUACUGGGCGUAAAGGGCGCGUAGGCGGUUGUGUGAGUGUGAUGUGAAAGCCCUGGGCUUAACCUAGGAAGUGCAUCGCAAACGACACGACUGGAGUAUAAGAGAGGGUGGCGGAAUUUCCGGUGUAGCGGUGAAAUGCGUAGAGAUCGGAAGGAACGUCAAUGGCGAAGGCAGCCACCUGGCUUAAUACUGACGCUGAGGCGCGAAAGCGUGGGGAUCGAACAGG
Molecule: ribosomal RNA, 253 nt
Filed under: uncultured bacterium
Lineage: Bacteria
Description: partial 16S ribosomal RNA
Rfam family: Bacterial small subunit ribosomal RNA
Source: RNAcentral